RNAcentral lists this long non-coding RNA (543 nucleotides) under Anser cygnoides (Swan goose). RNAcentral's name for it is "lncRNA (ENSACDG00005005741.1)". Lineage: Eukaryota; Metazoa; Chordata; Aves; Anseriformes; Anatidae. The record is from RNAcentral.
ACUAUUCAGUCAAAAUCAGCAAAAAGAGAAGGGAGAACAUGCCGCUUUUGAGGAUGAAGCUACGCUUCUUCCUGUCCCUUAUGCGACUUACAGCCUCUCAUUUGGAAGUGCUGUGUGGCUGGAGGAGCAGAAUUAUAAGUGAACUGAGUGGGGAGAAGAACUGGCCACACAAAAUCCUGAACAAGCAAUUUUACUGAAGAAACUAGACAAGACAGGAACUCCUUUCUUGAAGCAGAAUUGCUAUUCAGAAAAUGAAUCAUCCUGAUGUAGAAGCCGAAGGCAGAAACAGCAGAUUUAAACCAAAGUGCUCUUAGAUUUCUCAGUUUUGCUGUGAAUCAAUCACACAUUGACAAGAUUGUGCAGGUACAAUGUGAACAGCAUGACACAGCUCUUCUGGCAAUGUCACCUCUGCUAGGAGCUGCUAAGGCUAUUUAUACAUAAACUGGAAUUCUAGUUGAACAGCAGCAUUCCCUUAGUUUUAGCUUUGCUGAUGAAAGAGAGCUAGUUCAAAUAAAAUACAAACACCAGAGACUCUUGUUUUCA